AUCGAGUUAUUCGAAUCAACUCGAAUUUUUUUCCCGAAUUUCGAGUUCGAAUCGAGUUGGGUUUUCGAAUUCGAAUAACUCAAAUAAUUCGAAUAAUUUGAAUAUCAAACUAUAACAUUUUACAUUUUUACCCCAAACUCCCAAACCUUUUUACUUUUCCCUCAAAACUUUUACUCAUUCCCACUUUCCCCCCAAAACUUUUACUCCCCUCCCCUCCCAACCCCCCAAUCUACCCAAAAUCUAUUUCCCACCAAAAUUUUACUCUCCCAUUUAUUUUUUCUCAAAAUUUUACUCCCAAAAACCCUCAAAACCUUUUAUUUUCCCCCAAAAUUUUUACUCCCUCCCACUUUUCCCCUAAAAUUUUUAUUUCCUUCCUAUCUCACCUCCCAUCUAUCCCAAACCCUCCCCCCUCCAAUUUUUUUUAAUAUUUUCCCUCCAAAAUUUUACUCCCCUUGUUUACUUUCCCUCAAACUUUUAUUCCCCAAAACUUUUUAUUUUUC
RNAcentral lists this long non-coding RNA (500 nucleotides) under Gossypium raimondii (Peruvian cotton). RNAcentral's name for it is "long non-coding RNA (GRAI_LNC002322)". The record is from RNAcentral. Lineage: Eukaryota; Viridiplantae; Streptophyta; Magnoliopsida; Malvales; Malvaceae.